AACGCCAUUGAACAGACUAAGACCUUCCAAUACUUAGGCAUUACUUUCUCUUAUAAUGCCAAAUUCUCAACACACUUGACCACAUCAGCUAUAUCAGCAGAAAGAAGUGCAAAUGCUAUCCUUAGAUUAUUCAGAAGGAAAGGAGCUGGCUUCCUCCCGAUGGCCCUAACAGUCUUUCAGGCAAAAUCUUUAGCCCAACUUCUAUAUGGCUCUCAAAUUAGCCCCUCUGCCAACCUUAAGACCUUUGAAACAGUACAAUCUAAAUUCUUAAGAUCAUUAUUUGCUACUCCUAAGUGUACACCUAAUGCAGUCUUAAGGCAAGAGGCAGGACUGCCCAGAGUGGAAUUAAAAGUCUGGGAACAAGCAAUAUCCCUCUGGCUGAAAAUCCAUUACAAUCCUAAGGGUCUAUUACCUUGCUUCCUGGCCGCAGUUCCCUAUCCUCCUUGGCUUAUGCAAAUAACUAACAAGAUCAAACAAAUUGGCCUAAACCCUGAAAAUAUUUUUAUUGGAACUCUGAACAAGGCAAAAGCUACUAUCACUCGGAGACUUUAUGAUAUCGAAUUACAACAAGAAGGCGCCCUACUCCCAGAGACGUAUAGAUGUUUAAAAGCUUGGCCUAAUUUUGCAGCUGCCCCUUACUUAACUAACAUCACUAACGAAACCUAUAGAUGGGCUUUCUCUAGAGCCCGCUUUGAGACAAUGCCCUCAGCAGUGCUGUACGGCAAAUUCACGCGAGUUCCAAUGCAUGCGCGUCUCUGCCCUUGUAUGUCUAAUAAGGUAGAAUCUGUCACACACAUUCUUCUAUCUUGCGAAUUCUAUAGUGAAGAACGAGUUCAACUUAUUUUACCACUUCUAUCAAAAUUUAUACCCCUUCAAUAUUAUUUGGAAUCCUCCCCUGAAAUUCUUCGAAAAUACCUCCUGGAAGAUUCCUCAAGCUCAGUAUCAUAUGAGGUGGCUAAAUUUUGCACUUUAGUAAUUAAGAAGCGUAAAUCUCUUCUGUUGAAUGGCACACUGGGAAGUUCUCUUGUGUAACCUUUUUUCUUUUCUAAAGUUGUUGCUGUUUUCUUGUUGUCUGAUCUUAUGGUGUUUAGUGUCACUGGCUUUGGCCGCAAUAAACUUGAA
Molecule: non-coding RNA, 1122 nt
Organism: Podarcis lilfordi (Lilford's wall lizard)
Lineage: Eukaryota; Metazoa; Chordata; Lepidosauria; Squamata; Lacertidae
Source: the annotation of a GenBank genome assembly